UUAUAAUCUGAGCCUUCUCGGCGCCUCUCGUAGGCGUUUCGAAAAUGAAUCAAAACUUUCAACAACGGAUCUCUUGGUUCUGGCAUCGAUGAAGAACGCAGCGAAAUGCGAUAAGUAAUGUGAAUUGCAGAAUUCAGUGAAUCAUCGAAUCUUUGAACGCACAUUGCGCCCGCCAGUAUUCUGGCGGGCAUGCCUGUCCGAGCGUCAUUUCAACCCUCGAACCCCUCCGGGGGGUCGGCGUUGGGGAUCGGCCCUGCCUUGGCGGUGGCCGUCUCCGAAAUACAGUGGCGGUCUCGCCGCAGCCUCUCCUGCGCAGUAGUUUGCACACUCGCAUCGGGAGCGCGGCGCGUCCACAGCCGUUAAACACCCAACUUCUGAAAUGUUGACCUCGGAUCAGGUAGGAAUACCCGCUGAACUUAAGCAUAUCAAUAAGCGGAGGGAAAAAACCAACCCGGGA
This 457-nucleotide ribosomal RNA is filed under the name Trichoderma harzianum. RNAcentral describes it as "eukaryotic LSU rRNA". The stretch from base 54 to 207 matches the Rfam family "5.8S ribosomal RNA". Lineage: Eukaryota; Fungi; Ascomycota; Sordariomycetes; Hypocreales; Hypocreaceae. The record is from RNAcentral.